UGUUGAUUUCAUCGCACUUCAAAUAUAAGACCUCCCGUGUUCGAUCAGUCCAUUUUUUGCUUAAUCCUUCCAUUCUUUUUGUUUCAGGUGAGCAAAUAAUUGACUCUCCGAUUCCGUUGGCUCACUUUGCAUUGUGUUUUGACACCCGUUACUUGAUUGAACUUUUACUCGCCUCCAAUGUUGAAGUGGACCGUUGGUCAAAAGCAGCAGAAUUUGACGUCAUCGAGUUUUGGUUCCUCCACGAUCCAAUCAGUGAGCUCUGGUCCCUGUUACCCAAUAUGUCGCACCAAUGUCAAAAUUCACGGCACUUCAAAAUCUCGGGCUCGCCGUGUUUCCAUCCGCCAGCUGAACAAAGAAAACAGGCAGUGCCACAAAUCUAUCGUAAGUACAGUCAAAUCAUGAACCUAAUCUUACCGGUACGGGGUCUCAUGUACGAGUAUGAUACAGAAAACUCGAUAGUUGUUAUGGAAACCCCGACAGGCCUGUCUUUUUCUCCCAUGUUUUAAUAUCGCACAAAAAAACUAAGUAGGUAUAACGUUGCCAGACCUGGACUGGACGCUUUACCAUUUCAUGGUCCUGAUAAAAUCCUCGAGUAUCUUUCAUUGAAAUUUUGAAGCGAUUGAAUUCAGAAAGCUGGAAGCUGAGCGGAUUCAACCAAACAAGUCGAAUUUCAUUCCAUUUAAUCUGCCUUUUUUCUCCUAUGUUGUAAUAUCCAGGGUUCCCAGCCAAUUUUGGAAAAAAAAUUCCCUGACUUUUCCAGGUUUUCCAGGCCAAAAUGAAAAUUUUUCCAGGCCUUUUUCCGUGGAAAAAACUCAAAUAAUUUGCCCUAAAGAGACAGCGCGCGCGCGCAUUUUUCGGUUUUUGUAAAAGCUCCUCUAUUUUCAUCAAUUUUUGAUCUGGUUUAGCUUUUUAUUAUAAGAACCAGGCUAGGAUAGUAUCAUAACACGAAUGAAAUCACAAAAAACUUAAAAUGUGUUGGAAAAAAAAAUUGCCACCGAACACUUCCGA
Molecule: long non-coding RNA, 1008 nt
Filed under: Bemisia tabaci
Lineage: Eukaryota; Metazoa; Arthropoda; Insecta; Hemiptera; Aleyrodidae
Description: lncRNA ENSSSA2NGG011141
Source: RNAcentral